AGAACUCGAGUCUUCCGAGUACACCGCUCUUGGCUGCGGAUCCUCCGAGGUGAACGACGACCGAGGGGUUUCGACCGACUACUGAACGUCGAACCUCGUCCGUCCCGGCGACGCGGGUUUCAAUCUUCGACUGUACGACGUGCGGAACGGGGGACACCGCGCGCGCCUUCCGCGAGACUCGGCAACUCCGUUACACCGAUAGGACUAGGUGCGACGUUACUCUGGAUAUCCAUGCGUCUAUCACUGGCGGAGAACGCGACGCUUGCCACACCAAGUUUCCCAGGACUGCCCCGAGACCGGCGCAAAAUGUGCUCUGGUGCAUCACCUGCGGAGACAAGGGGUCGGAGUUACGACGUCGAUGGAAAAGAUCACUCGCAGUCGUCGAUUACCUGAUUCUUCAGCCUGAUUAUCUCUUCUCGCGCUCGACCCAGUCGAUUCUCUCGGUCCUCCCAUUGUUCGUACAGCCGAUCGUAUCGUCUUUCCGCCUCCUCGAGUUUCUCGACUCCUUCUAGGG
Molecule: unclassified non-coding RNA, 514 nt
Filed under: Athalia rosae (coleseed sawfly)
Lineage: Eukaryota; Metazoa; Arthropoda; Insecta; Hymenoptera; Athaliidae
Description: misc RNA ENSAEAG00005007646.1
Source: RNAcentral